RNAcentral lists this ribosomal RNA (468 nucleotides) under uncultured bacterium. Its description in RNAcentral is "partial 16S ribosomal RNA". It matches the Rfam family "Bacterial small subunit ribosomal RNA", at positions 28 to 507 of the family's 1533-position model. The record is from RNAcentral.
GACGAACGCUGGCGGCGUGCUUAACACAUGCAAGUCGAACGGAAAGGCCCUGCUUUUGUGGGGUGCUCGAGUGGCGAACGGGUGAGUAACACGUGAGUAACCUGCCCUUGACUUUGGGAUAACUUCAGGAAACUGGGGCUAAUACCGGAUAGGAGCUCCUGCUGCAUGGUGGGGGUUGGAAAGUUUCGGCGGGUGGGGAUGGACUCGCGGCUUAUCAGCUUGUUGGUGGGGUAGUGGCUUACCAAGGCAUUGACGGGUAGCCGGCCUGAGAGGGUGACCGGCCACAUUGGGACUGAGAUACGGCCCAGACUCCUACGGGAGGCAGCAGUGAGGAAUAUUGCACAAUGGGCGGAAGCCUGAUGCAGCAACGCCGCGUGCGGGAUGACGGCCUUCGGGUUGUAAACCGCUUUCGCCUGUGACGAAGCGUGAGUGACGGUAAUGGGUAAAGAAGCACCGGCUAACUACGUG